AUUGAACGCUGGCGGCAUGCUUUACACAUGCAAGUCGAGCGGCAGCGCGGGGGCAACCCUGGCGGCGAGCGGCGAACGGGUGAGUAACGCAUCGGAACGUAUCCUGUAGUGGGGAAUAACUCAUCGAAAGGUGAGCUAAUACCGCAUAAGCUCUGAGGAGGAAAGCGGGGGACCGAAAGGCCUCGCGCUGCAGGAGCGGCCGAUGUCCGAUUAGCUAGUUGGUGAGGUAAAGGCUCACCAAGGCGACGAUCGGUAGCUGGUCUGAGAGGAUGAUCAGCCACACUGGGACUGAGACACGGCCCAGACUCCUACGGGAGGCAGCAGUGGGGAAUUUGGACAAUGGGGGAAACCCUGAUCCAGCCAUGCCGCGUGAGUGAAGAAGGCC
Molecule: ribosomal RNA, 385 nt
Filed under: uncultured bacterium
Lineage: Bacteria
Description: bacterial SSU rRNA
Rfam family: Bacterial small subunit ribosomal RNA
Source: RNAcentral